This 497-nucleotide ribosomal RNA is filed under the name uncultured bacterium. RNAcentral describes it as "partial 16S ribosomal RNA". It matches the Rfam family "Bacterial small subunit ribosomal RNA", at positions 28 to 507 of the family's 1533-position model. The record is from RNAcentral.
GACGAACGCUGGCGGCGUGCCUAAUACAUGCAAGUUGAGCGCUGAAGGUUGGUACUUGUACCAACUGGAUGAGCAGCGAACGGGUGAGUAACGCGUGGGGAAUCUGCCUUUGAGCGGGGGACAACAUUUGGAAACGAAUGCUAAUACCGCAUAAAAACUUUAAACACAAGUUUUAAGUUUGAAAGAUGCAAUUGCAUCACUCAAAGAUGAUCCCGCGUUGUAUUAGCUAGUUGGUGAGGUAAAGGCUCACCAAGGCGACGAUACAUAGCCGACCUGAGAGGGUGAUCGGCCACAUUGGGACUGAGACACGGCCCAAACUCCUACGGGAGGCAGCAGUAGGGAAUCUUCGGCAAUAGACGAAAGUCUGACCGAGCAACGCCGCGUGAGUGAAGAAGGUUUUCGGAUCGUAAAACUCUGUUGGUAGAGAAGAACGUUGGUGAGAGUGGAAAGCUCAUCAAGUGACGGUAACUACCCAGAAAGGGACGGCUAACUACGUG